AGCGGUUCUUGGGUGACACACUCUAGAAUCGGGCUCCCUCCUCUCAGGUUCUGGGGUAUGUCACCAGUCGCA
Molecule: non-coding RNA, 72 nt
Organism: Myotis lucifugus (little brown bat)
Lineage: Eukaryota; Metazoa; Chordata; Mammalia; Chiroptera; Vespertilionidae
Source: Rfam